This is a long non-coding RNA of Peromyscus californicus insignis, 985 nucleotides long. RefSeq lists it as uncharacterized. Lineage: Eukaryota; Metazoa; Chordata; Mammalia; Rodentia; Cricetidae. The record is from RefSeq and is a predicted model, not a curated record. The transcript has 5 exons.
AGCAGGCCAGCAAAUCUCUCUGUGCUUUUGAUGUCAAGUUAUUUGCCUUUUAAAUUCUGUUGAGGUGAAUCACCUUUGCUGUGGUUGUUGUUUUUGAACGCAGUGAGACUUCCAAAUGACUAUCUGCACUUUUCCAUUCUUCUACUGUCUUUCUGUAUCUCUAUUGAUACUGUCCCCAGCCGCAUUUGGAGUUGAGGCCAGAAACUUGUGAAGAAUCACAAGAUCUCUCAGGUUCAGCAUGACUGGAAAUACUUCCAGACACCACCACUACAGACAUGGGUGGACACCUAAGGAGUGAGAUGGUUGGGUUAUAUGAUCAAGACAUUCUACCUGGGCUAACGCCAAGGAAGCAGGUGCAAAGAGGAAUGGGCUCCGGAGAGAGGACAGGUACCCAGCAAAGCCCUCCAACACCCAUGACUGAGAUGUCUCAUUUGAAGCAACUAUGUUCCACCUGAAAUUCUCUGGGCUAGACUACUGACAAGGCAAGAGACGGCAGCAGGCCAGAAAACUUUAGCAUUCCAAGACAAGAAGAGUUCUUGUCCCCGCCCUUCAUGUGUGAAGACAGAAUGUGUGCAGCUGGGCACACUAAGCGUCGUGACUACACCUAUCAGAUUCUACACAUGAGGGAAAAUAGGAGAAAUUUGUCUUAUUUCACUUCAUCUGAUCUGCAGAUCCACCCACUGUUGGGAGCCAGGCCAACCCAAAGCUUUCUCAGAGACUCUGAGGAAAGAAGAGAACCCAAGUUCUGGGUCUUUGCCCAAGGGUGGGCUUGGCAAGGUCUGGGCCUCAAAGUUCCUAGGAACGUGACUUUCCCCCCGAAGAAGAGACUGGAAUUAUCAGUCCUGAGUUUCUGAGCACUCAGUCUGGGAUGCACUUGAGACGUCCUGUGCUCCCUUUGUGCAAUGUGACUUGACUAGCUUCCUGCUGACGUCACCCUGUUGUACAAUGGCUUCUGCUGACUCUUCCCUACGCCUCGCAAACUGUA